This 484-nucleotide ribosomal RNA is filed under the name uncultured bacterium. RNAcentral describes it as "partial 16S ribosomal RNA". It matches the Rfam family "Bacterial small subunit ribosomal RNA", at positions 30 to 507 of the family's 1533-position model. The record is from RNAcentral.
AUUGAACGCUGGCGGCAGGCCUAACACAUGCAAGUCGAGCGGAUGAAGGGAGCUUGCUCCUGGAUUCAGCGGCGGACGGGUGAGUAAUGCCUAGGAAUCUGCCUGGUAGUGGGGGAUAACGUCCGGAAACGGGCGCUAAUACCGCAUACGUCCUGCGGGAGAAAGUGGGGGAUCUUCGGACCUCAUGCUCUCAGAUGAGCCUAGGUCGGAUUAGCUAGUUGGUGGGGUAAAGGCCUACCAAGGCGACGAUCCGUAACUGGUCUGAGAGGAUGGUCAGUCACACUGGAAGUGAGACAGGGUCCAGACGCCUACGGGAGGCAGCAGUGGGGAAUAUUGGACAAUGGGCGAAAGCCUGAUCCAGCCAUGCCGCGUGUGUGAAGAAGGUCUUCGGAGUGUAAAGCACUUUAAGUUGGGAGGAAGGGCAGUAAGUUAAUACCUUGCUGGUUUGACGGUACCAACAGAAUAAGCACCGGCUAACUUCGUG